GCCCGGGUGGUGAAAUCGGUAGACACAUCGGACUUAAAAUCCGCCGCCCCAAAGGGCAUGCCGGUUCGAUUCCGGCCCCGGGCACCA
Molecule: transfer RNA, 87 nt
Filed under: Comamonadaceae bacterium
Lineage: Bacteria; Pseudomonadati; Pseudomonadota; Betaproteobacteria; Burkholderiales; Comamonadaceae
Description: tRNA-Leu
Rfam family: tRNA
About the family: Transfer RNA (tRNA) molecules are approximately 80 nucleotides in length. Their secondary structure includes four short double-helical elements and three loops (D, anti-codon, and T loops).
Source: RNAcentral